Hippoglossus stenolepis (Pacific halibut) is the source of this 498-nucleotide long non-coding RNA. RefSeq lists it as uncharacterized. The transcript has 3 exons. Lineage: Eukaryota; Metazoa; Chordata; Actinopteri; Pleuronectiformes; Pleuronectidae. The record is from RefSeq and is a predicted model, not a curated record.
CAGUAAUUUAUUGUAGUGCACACCCCGUACACUAGGUGGCAGCGAUGUACAGAGGUGAAACUCAGUAAAGAAGAAGAAGAAGGCUCGUGUUAGUAGCAUGUUGGGGUUCAGGAAAAAUGUUGAGGUGCUAAGAGCAGUUUGAUUUUACUCACAAGCGUUAAAUUAUCCCGUUUUUUGUAUUAAAUUAAUCUAGAUGCUGUUGACAGCUACUUAGCUUGUUUACGCUACUAUUUUAAGCUUUUGCCCCCCCCCAAAAGGUUUCGUUUAGCAACUUUAGCUGAAACUGAACACGUGGAGAGGCUCGAUAGUCCGUUGGGUCUCCCUGAACAAAAUGGGUUCCAGUGAACUGAGCUCCUGGAUCUCACAUGUUCGACCUGCUGAUGUGACUGCAGAGCUUGUGUUUCCAGGCAUCUACCACAAGAACUAAAAGGGUUUGUCUUUGUUUGUUUUAUUAUUCAAAGCUUUUAGUUUUCACAAUAAAAUAAGUUGUGGAAUAAA